Molecule: ribosomal RNA, 508 nt
Filed under: uncultured bacterium
Lineage: Bacteria
Description: partial 16S ribosomal RNA
Rfam family: Bacterial small subunit ribosomal RNA
Source: RNAcentral
AUUGAACGCUGGCGGCAUGCCUUACACAUGCAAGUCGAACGGCAGCGGGGGAGAAGCUUGCUUUUCCUGCCGGCGAGUGGCGAACGGGUGAGUAAUACAUCGGAACGUGCCCUGUAGUGGGGGAUAACUAGUCGAAAGAUUAGCUAAUACCGCAUACGACCUGAGGGUGAAAGUGGGGGAUCGCAAGACCUCGCGCGAUUGGAGGGGCCGAAAUCAGAUUAGCUAGUUGGUGGGGUAAAGGCCAACCAAGGCGACGAUCUGUAGCUGGUUUGAGAGGACGACCAGCCACACUGGAACUGAGACACGGUCCAGACUCCUACGGGAGGCAGCAGUGGGGAAUUUUGGACAAUGGGCGCAAGCCUGAUCCAGCAAUGCCGCGUGCAGGAUGAAGGCCUUCGGGUUGUAAACUGCUUUUGUACGGAACGAAACGGCCCUUUCUAAUACAGGGGGCUAAUGACGGUACCGUAAGAAUAAGCACCGGCUAACUACGUGCCAGCAGCCGCGGUAA